RNAcentral lists this unclassified non-coding RNA (197 nucleotides) under uncultured fungus. RNAcentral's name for it is "sequence contains ITS1". Lineage: Eukaryota; Fungi. The record is from RNAcentral.
UUUUUUGUUGUUUUGUUUUACAUUCUUUGACUAGUGUUAAAAAAGGUUUCGCAAGUCAUACUUGAGCGAGCUCAAGCUUGAUAGACUCGCUAUAAGUGCACAGAGUUGGAUAGUGGAGGUCAGGCCUCUAAUCGCUUCCGCAGAAAAGAGCACCCUAAUAUUCACUAAUGAUCCUUCCGCAGGUUCACCUACGGAAA